AAGGUGUGAUGGCAUGACACUCUG
Molecule: microRNA, 24 nt
Filed under: Glycine max (soybean)
Lineage: Eukaryota; Viridiplantae; Streptophyta; Magnoliopsida; Fabales; Fabaceae
Description: gma-miR4387b
Source: miRBase by way of RNAcentral